This 510-nucleotide ribosomal RNA is filed under the name uncultured bacterium. RNAcentral describes it as "bacterial SSU rRNA". It matches the Rfam family "Bacterial small subunit ribosomal RNA", at positions 18 to 518 of the family's 1533-position model. The record is from RNAcentral.
UAUGGCUCAGGAUGAACGCUAGCUACAGGCUUAACACAUGCAAGUCGAGGGCAGCAUGAACUUAGCUUGCUAAGUUGAUGGCGACCGGCGCACGGGUGAGUAACGCGUAUCCAACCUUCCCCUUAGUAGGGCAUAGCCCGAUGAAAAUCGGAUUAAUACCCUAUGUUUUCCAAUGAGGACAUCUGAGCUGGAACAAAGAUUCAUCGCUAAGGGAUGGGGAUGCGUCCGAUUAGGUAGUCGGCGGGUAACGGCCCACCGAGCCAUCGAUCGGUAGGGGUUCUGAGAGGAAGGUCCCCCACAUUGGAACUGAGACACGGUCCAAACUCCUACGGGAGGCAGCAGUGAGGAAUAUUGGUCAAUGGGCGAGAGCCUGAACCAGCCAAGUAGCGUGCAAGGAUGACGGCCCUAUGGGUUGUAAACUGCUUUUAUGCGGGGUAUAAAGUGCGCCACGUGUGGCGUUUUGUAGGUACCGCAUGAAUAAGGACCGGCUAAUUCCGUGCCAGCCGCUGC